Molecule: ribosomal RNA, 253 nt
Filed under: uncultured bacterium
Lineage: Bacteria
Description: partial 16S ribosomal RNA
Rfam family: Bacterial small subunit ribosomal RNA
Source: RNAcentral
UACGGAGGAUGCAAGCGUUAUCCGGAAUGAUUGGGCGUAAAGCGUCCGCAGGUGGCUGUUCAAGUCUGCUGUCAAAGACCGGGGCUUAACUUCGGAAAGGCAGUGGAAACUGAACAGCUAGAGUAUGGUAGGGGCAGAGGGAAUUCCUGGUGUAGCGGUGAAAUGCGUAGAUAUCAGGAAGAACAUCGGUGGCGAAGGCGCUCUGCUGGACCAGAACUGACGCUCAGGGACGAAAGCUAGGGGAGCGAAUGGG